This 471-nucleotide ribosomal RNA is filed under the name uncultured bacterium. RNAcentral's name for it is "bacterial SSU rRNA". It matches the Rfam family "Bacterial small subunit ribosomal RNA", at positions 8 to 526 of the family's 1533-position model. The record is from RNAcentral.
AGGGUUCGAUUAUGGCUCAGGAUGAACGCUGGCGGCGUGCUUAACACAUGCAAGUCGAACGGACCUUCGGGUUAGUGGCGGACGGGUGAGUAACGCGUGAGAAUCUGCCCUCAGGAGGGGGAUAACGGUUGGAAACGACCGCUAAUACCCCAUAUGCCUACUGGUGAAAUGAAUUUCGCCUGAGGAUGAGCUCGCGUCUGAUUAGCUAGUUGGUGAGGUAAUGGCUCACCAAGGCUUCGAUCAGUAGCUGGUCUGAGAGGAUGAUCAGCCACACUGGGACUGAGACACGGCCCAGACUCCUACGGGAGGCAGCAGUGGGGAAUUUUCCGCAAUGGGCGAAAGCCUGACGGAGCAACGCCGCGUGAGGGACGAAGGCCUCUGGGCUGUAAACCUCUUUUCUCAAGGAAGAAGAUAUGACGGUACUUGAGGAAUAAGCCACGGCUAAUUCCGUGCCAGCCGCCGCGGUAAUAC